AUGUCCUAUUAAAAAAGUCAGUGCAAACGCAACAGUUUUGUAAAGUGAGUGAUUUUACAGGUCUGUUGCGUGUGCUUUUUUAUCAAUCUACUAAAGUCGGUUGGUCGCGCAUGAACCCUAUUUUAAUUGAGAAGUUACAGCGUAAGCUGGGUUACCAUUUUA
This 162-nucleotide small RNA is filed under the name Moellerella wisconsensis. RNAcentral's name for it is "rncO". It matches the Rfam family "rncO". From Rfam's summary of the family: This family represents a bacterial regulatory element (rncO) found in the rnc leader sequence. Lineage: Bacteria; Pseudomonadati; Pseudomonadota; Gammaproteobacteria; Enterobacterales; Morganellaceae. The record is from RNAcentral.